AGCAGUCGCCGCUGGAAUACGUAGGGUGCAAGCGUUAAUCGGAAUUACUGGGCGUAAAGCGUGCGCAGGCGGUUAUAUAAGACAGAUGUGAAAUCCCCGGGCUCAACCUGGGAACUGCAUUUGUGACUGUAUAGCUAGAGUACGGCAGAGGGGGAUGGAAUUCCGCGUGUAGCAGUGAAAUGCGUAGAUAUGCGGAGGAACACCGAUGGCGAAGGCAAUCCCCUGGGCCUGUACUGACGCUCAUGCACGAAAGCGUGGGGAGCAAACAGGAUUAGAUACCCCCGUAGUCCCUGUCUCUUAUAC
RNAcentral lists this ribosomal RNA (303 nucleotides) under uncultured bacterium. RNAcentral describes it as "partial 16S ribosomal RNA". It matches the Rfam family "Bacterial small subunit ribosomal RNA", at positions 507 to 807 of the family's 1533-position model. The record is from RNAcentral.